UACAGAGGUCCCGAGCGUUGUUCGGAUUCACUGGGCGUAAAGGGUGCGCAGGUGGUUUGGCAAGUUUGAUGUGUAAGCCCCGGGCUUAACCCGGGAAUGGCAUUGAAUACUGCUUGAACUGGAGGGUCGGAGGGGGGACUGGAAUUCUUGGUGUAGCAGUGAAAUGCGUAGAUAUCAAGAGGAACACCAGUGGCGAAGGCGAGUCCCUGGACGAUACCUGACACUGAGGCACGAAAGCCAAGGGAGCAAACAGG
This 254-nucleotide ribosomal RNA is filed under the name uncultured bacterium. RNAcentral describes it as "partial 16S ribosomal RNA". It matches the Rfam family "Bacterial small subunit ribosomal RNA", at positions 524 to 776 of the family's 1533-position model. The record is from RNAcentral.